CCCUUAGAUGUUCUGGGCUGCACGCGCGCUACACUGAUGCACUCAACGAGUUUACGACCUCGCCCGAUAGGGUUGGGUAAUCUUUUUAAAAUGCAUCGUGAUGGGGAUAGAUUAUUGCAAUUAUUAAUCUUCAACGAGGAAUUCCUAGUAAGCGCGAGUCAUCAGCUCGUGCUGAUUACGUCCCUGCCCUUUGUACACACCGCCCGUCGCUCCUACCGAUUGAGUGCUCAGGUGAAUAAUUCGGACUGCAGCAAUGUUUGGAUCCCGAACGUUGCAGCGGAAAGUUUAGUGAACCUUAUCACUUAGAGGAAGGAGAAGUCGUAACA
Molecule: ribosomal RNA, 326 nt
Filed under: uncultured eukaryote
Lineage: Eukaryota
Description: partial 18S ribosomal RNA
Rfam family: Eukaryotic small subunit ribosomal RNA
Source: RNAcentral